Molecule: ribosomal RNA, 492 nt
Filed under: uncultured bacterium
Lineage: Bacteria
Description: partial 16S ribosomal RNA
Rfam family: Bacterial small subunit ribosomal RNA
Source: RNAcentral
AGUGAACGCUGGCGGUAGGCCUAACACAUGCAAGUCGAACGGCAGCACAGUAAGAGCUUGCUCUUACGGGUGGCGAGUGGCGGACGGGUGAGGAAUACAUCGGAAUCUACUUUUUCGUGGGGGAUAACGCAGGGAAACUUACGCUAAUACCGCAUACGACCUACGGGUGAAAGCAUGGGAUCUUCGGACCUUGCGCGAUUGAAUGAGCCGAUGUCGGAUUAGCUAGUUGGCGGGGUAAAGGCCCACCAAGGCGACGAUCCGUAGCUGGUCUGAGAGGAUGAUCAGCCACACUGGAACUGAGACACGGUCCAGACUCCUACGGGAGGCAGCAGUGGGGAAUAUUGGACAAUGGGCGCAAGCCUGAUCCAGCCAUACCGCGUGGGUGAAGAAGGCCUUCGGGUUGUAAAGCCCUUUUGUUGGGAAAGAAAAGCAGCAGGUUAAUACCCCGCUGUUCUGACGGUACCCAAAGAAUAAGCACCGGCUAACUUCGUG